GUGCUUGUUUCGGCAGCACAUAUACUAAAAUUGAAACGAUACAGAGAAGAUUAGCAUGGUCCCUGGACAAGGAUGACAUGCAAAUUCGUAAAGUGUUCCAUAUUUUA
Suncus etruscus (white-toothed pygmy shrew) is the source of this 107-nucleotide small nuclear RNA. The record is from RefSeq and is a predicted model, not a curated record. Lineage: Eukaryota; Metazoa; Chordata; Mammalia; Eulipotyphla; Soricidae.